This 314-nucleotide unclassified non-coding RNA is filed under the name plant metagenome. Its description in RNAcentral is "partial contains 5.8S ribosomal RNA, internal transcribed spacer 2, and large subunit ribosomal RNA". The stretch from base 1 to 105 matches the Rfam family "5.8S ribosomal RNA", at positions 50 to 154 of the family's 154-position model. The record is from RNAcentral.
GAAAUGCGAUAAUUAAUGUGAAUUGCAGAAUUCAGUGAAUCAUCGAGUCUUUGAACGCACAUUGCGCCCCCUGGUAUUCCGGGGGGCAUUCCUGUCCGAGCGUCAUUGCUGCCCUCAAGCACGGCUUGUGUGUUGGGCUUCCGUCCCUGGCAACGGGGACGGGCCCAAAAGGCAGUGGCGGCACCAUGUCUGGUCCUCGAGCGUAUGGGGCUUUGUCACCCGCUCCCGUAGGUCCAGCUGGCAGCUAGCCUCGCAACCAAUCUUUUUAACCAGGUUGACCUCGGAUCAGGUAGGGAUACCCGCUGAACUUAAGC